GACGAACGCUGGCGGCGUGCUUAACACAUGCAAGUCGAACGGAAAGGCCCUGCUUUUGUGGGGUGCUCGAGUGGCGAACGGGUGAGUAACACGUGAGUAACCUGCCCUUGACUUUGGGAUAACUUCAGGAAACUUGGGCUAAUACCGGAUAGGAGCUCCUGCUGCAUGGUGGGGGUUGGAAAGUUUCGGCUGUUGGGGAUGGACUCGCGGCUUAUCAGCUUGUUGGUUGGGUAGUGGCUUACCAAGGCUUUGACGGGUAGCCGGCAUGAGAGGGUGACCGGGGAAAAUGGGACUGAGAUACGGAACAGAAUACAACGGGAGGAAGCAGGGGGGAAUAUUGCACAAUGGGAGGAAGACUGAGGAAGAAACGCAGCGUGCGGGAUGACGGCCUUCGGGUUGUAAACCGAUUUAGAAUGUGAAGAAGAGUGAGUGACGGUAAUGGGUAAAGAAGCACCGGCUAACUACGUG
This 468-nucleotide ribosomal RNA is filed under the name uncultured bacterium. Its description in RNAcentral is "partial 16S ribosomal RNA". It matches the Rfam family "Bacterial small subunit ribosomal RNA", at positions 28 to 507 of the family's 1533-position model. The record is from RNAcentral.